Long non-coding RNA from Mus musculus (house mouse), 608 nucleotides. RefSeq annotates it as predicted gene, 34291. The transcript is spliced from 6 exons. NCBI's taxonomy places the organism in Eukaryota, Metazoa, Chordata, Mammalia, Rodentia, Muridae. The record is from RefSeq and is a predicted model, not a curated record.
CUGAGAUCAAACUCAAUUCCCUAUCUUUUGGAUGCCAAGUGCUUUUUGAGCCAUUUCCUUGACUGCUGGUCCAAUUCAAAGAAUGCUAAAGUGAAUAGUAGAUGAAUAUUGAAUAAGGAACUAUCAGUGCCUAUGGGAAAUUGAGAGAGCAAGAAGUUGCCUUAUGAGAAGAUGUUUUGCUGAGGCUGACACAAUAGAGGAUCCAUGAUGUUUGGAAAAAGUGUUAUAACAGUCCUGUUUCCCUAUGUGGCCCUAAUGGUAACAUCUGCAUAUUCCCAUAGCUGAUUUUCAGAGCUGGGAGGAAACCAGAGGGAGUCGACUCCCUAGGGUUGUAAGGAAUAUACAAGCAUGAAAACCUACAAAAACAUCGACCGCACUGCUGUCUGCUGUUUCAUCAGCCUUACCUGGGAUCAUCUUCAACACUUCAGGGCAAGACAGGAGUCCCAGAACCAAGAGCCUGGAACUCAGCCAGUCUCACAGCAGUGAGUCAAUCUGACACCAACAGUGAGUCAAAGCUGCAUUUGGUUCCCAAGUCUUUAAGACACCAAACAGUGCCUACAGAAGUCAGAAGCCAGUAUUUGAGCCCCUGGAGCUAUAGCUGCAGCCAG